RNAcentral lists this ribosomal RNA (531 nucleotides) under Selenops curazao. RNAcentral's name for it is "partial 16S ribosomal RNA". The stretch from base 98 to 397 matches the Rfam family "Bacterial large subunit ribosomal RNA", at positions 2074 to 2646 of the family's 2925-position model. The record is from RNAcentral. Lineage: Eukaryota; Metazoa; Arthropoda; Arachnida; Araneae; Selenopidae.
UUUAAAUGAAGACCAGAACAAAAGAUUCUACGUUUUAAUUUUUUUCUUUUUUUAAAAAUUCAAACUUAUCUUAAAUGUUAAAAGACAUUUAUUUAAAAGAAAGACGACAAGACCCUAUUAAACUUAACUACAGUUAAACUGGGGCAGUUUAUUAAUAAUUAUUUUAAUUAAACUAAUUUAAUAAAUGAUCUAAUAUAAUUAAUCACAUGAUCAAGUUACUAUAGGGAUAACAGCGUAAUAAUUAUUUAAAGCUCUUAUAAAAAUAAUAGUUUACGACCUCGAUGUUGAAUUAAUAACCUAAUUAACGCAAAAGAUAAUUAAGGAAGUCUGUUCGACUUUUAAAAAAUUACAUGAUUUGAGUUCAGACCGGUAUAAGCCAGGUCGGUUUCUAUCUUCUAUUUACUUCUUACAGUACGAAAGGACCUAAGAAACUAAUUUAAUUAAUAUAUUGGCAGAAAAAUGCAUUAGAAUUAGAAUCUAAUUAACUAAAUCAUUAUAUUUAUAUUAUCCUAUCUAAUUAUUACCUUAAGA